Long non-coding RNA from Xenopus tropicalis (tropical clawed frog), 457 nucleotides. RefSeq lists it as uncharacterized. The record is from RefSeq and is a predicted model, not a curated record. The transcript is spliced from 3 exons. NCBI's taxonomy places the organism in Eukaryota, Metazoa, Chordata, Amphibia, Anura, Pipidae.
GGAAUACCGUGUAGAAGUGUGGGCUCUGCUGAACCGUGACUUUGCUGUCCACGCCAGAGUUUGCAAAACCCCAUAGGCUUUCAGGUGACCUCUGUGGAUCUUUGAGUGCCUCUUCCCUGUACAUUUACAAGUUGCCCUUUACAUCAGUUGCACUUGCAUUUUGACUACCCUGAUGUUUCUUCUUUACAAACCUCGAGAGCCUGUCUGCCCUGGUCUCUUGGCCCGAGAGUCUGUCGGCCCUGGCCUCUUGGCCCGAGAGUCUGUCUGCCCUGGCCUAUUGGCCCGAGAGUCUGUCUGCCCUGGCCUCUUGGCCCGAGAGUCUGUCUGCCCUGGCCUCAUAAAUACUCCUAGUAUUUUCACCAAGGAAUGGUAAAGACCAAGCAACAAACUGCUCUGAAGUUGCCAGCAAUAAGUCCAGAAUUGAAAACCAUUAAAGGAGAAGGAAAGGCUAAGUCAC